Long non-coding RNA from Macrobrachium nipponense, 1977 nucleotides. RefSeq lists it as uncharacterized. The record is from RefSeq and is a predicted model, not a curated record. The transcript has 3 exons. NCBI's taxonomy places the organism in Eukaryota, Metazoa, Arthropoda, Malacostraca, Decapoda, Palaemonidae.
AUCAAAGUUGACAGCGUAAAGUCAGGAUGGCGCUUCUAUCUUGUAGUUUUCCUAUUGAGAGACGUCAAGGGCGCUCGCAUGUGUGUGGUUUUAUGUAUACAUGUAUAUGUAUGUAUGAAGCUGUUAUCGGCCGUGUGCAAGUCCACAAGACAAUCUUCAGACGAAAGAGAAGUGAUGAUCACCGGACGGGAGCCGAGCCAGCGAUACUGCGUUGGUUCUGACGUCCUCGGCCGGCUCCAGUCGUCGGGAUGUUGCCAUGGUUACCAGAAGCGGACGUAGUAGGCGUCCCUCUUCCCGAUGCACGUGAACAGCACCAGCACAGCGAUGACAACUUUAAGGGAGAGAGAGAGAAAAGAUAGAAUUAUUAAAAGAUGCUGUAGUUGACCAUGUCGAUGUCUACACAAGCAUAUUAAACUGGCGACCACCACCACCACCACCAAAUUAACCGAUCCCAACAGUUGCUUUCUCAAUGACAACGCCACAGCUGCAAACGUCAGUCUACCCUUUUUCACGACACACAGCCCAGAGGCCUGGUUCUUUAGGGCAGAGACGAUCUUCAGGUCGGGUAAAAAGAAAGUUCACGGCGUCAUCACAAAAAUCUGAAGCGCUCCUUGAAUGCCUACCUGACAAUGUCUUCAGACAAAUAGCAGAGUGGCUGGCCGAGUCAGACAACUGUCACAUGAGAUUUUGAAGGCACAACCUUCAGCCCUCAGAGCUAGAAAAUUCUUAGAUAUCAUAGGAAUGGCAAUAGGAGAGCCUAGCCAUCACACGUCUACAAGCAACUACGAUGACUUACAACAAUUCCGGUCACAGACAGCCAACCAGAGAUAACACUGGACUUAGUGUGUGAAGUUCAUGUGUGAAGUUCAUCCUGACGAAUUUGCUGCACAAAACGGUCACUGCAAUUCCCAACGCAUCCAUCAUGCCCCUAGAGGAAUUUCUCAAAAUGGUAGAUGCGGUUCAUCUGGCCCAGACAUCAUCAGAGCCCACUCAACCACCACAACCCGAAAGUGACGAAGAAGUGAUAUAAAUAUCAAGUCACAUUUCCCCACCACUGCCACACACACACCACUCCUGAAACAAGAGGGAAAACUGCCAAAUCAGAAAAUACAGCCUGAUACGCUAUGUAGAGGAUCAUAAAAGGACACGACCAAGGGGUUUUACUUCUGCCACUGGAGAUUUGGAGCAAGGCUCAAGUGAACAGGGUUGUCUGUAUGCUAUCAAAAACAUGUUGCUGCAGCCCAACCAACUACCCAUAUCACCACUGCCAGACUGGUUGCCUCGUAAGAGGGAACGAGGAGGCAACAGGCCUUUCAGUGUCUGUCUUCUAGAAAUAAGCAAACGCACAUAAUGUCUCUAUAGUUGAUGUGAGCUCAUGCAUCUUUCAUCCCAGCCAACCUGAAUGAACGGCUAAAAGCAGCCCCCAACACUUUCCAUGGGUACUGCUAACAAUGCCCCACUAAAAAUUCAUGGCAUCAAAAGCUUGAGUUUUACUGUAUCCUCAGGUACAAGGGCUCCUCCAACAAUGUUGCAGCUGCGCUUUCCAGGAGCACUGUUAAAAUGCCGUCCAGAUCCAGAUAUCCUGAGAUAACAGCAGCCCAGAAGGAUGAAGCAGACUACACCUUCUGAUGAAGCAGACCUACAGCAACUCUGGUGGUAAAGUUCCACCAUCUCAAGGAGGGAUUUCACCAUAAAUAUUGGAGAAGCAAUAUUACCUGUGAAAACUAGUACCUGACGCUGUGUACCGCUGGCCUUGAAGAGAAAAGGCUUUCAGUCUUGACCAUGAUCUGUCACACCCAUCAGGCUGCUCCACUGCCCAUACCUGACAAGAAUACAUUUGGUGGGCAAUGACGAUGGACUUGAAGAAAUGGCCUACCCAGCGUCCUACCAAGCAUCCAAACAGCUGAAUGGAAAGUUGUGCGAAAGCUCUAUUCAACUAGAACCUACACAGAGUCCCCUUGGUAACAUCACCGGUAA